RNAcentral lists this ribosomal RNA (469 nucleotides) under uncultured bacterium. Its description in RNAcentral is "bacterial SSU rRNA". It matches the Rfam family "Bacterial small subunit ribosomal RNA", at positions 30 to 507 of the family's 1533-position model. The record is from RNAcentral.
AUUGAACGCUGGCGGCAGGCUUAACACAUGCAAGUCGAGCGGAGAUGAGGUGCUUGCACCUUAUCUUAGCGGCGGACGGGUGAGUAAUGCUUAGGAACGUACCCUUUGGUACGGAAUAGUCUCGGGAAACUGGGGGUAAUACCGUAUACGCCCUUCGGGGGAAAGAUUUAUCGGAGAAGGAUCGGCCCGCGUUGGAUUAGGUAGUUGGUGGGGUAAUGGCCUACCAAGCCGACGAUCCAUAGCUGGUUUGAGAGGAUGAUCAGCCACACUGGGACUGAGACACGGCCCAGACUCCUACGGGAGGCAGCAGUGGGGAAUCUUAGACAAUGGGCGCAAGCCUGAUCCAGCAAUGCCGCGUGAGUGAUGAAGGCCUUAGGGUUGUAAACCGCUUUCAGCCGGAAAGAAAUCGCCGUUUUAAUACAGACGGUGGAUGACGGUACCGGAAGAAGAAGCACCGGCUAACUACGUG